CCUACGGGAGGCAGCAGUGAGGAAUAUUGGUCAAUGGGCGGGAGCCUGAACCAGCCAAGUAGCGUGAGGGAUGACGGCCCUAUGGGUUGUAAACCUCUUUUGUAUGGGGAUAAAACGUUCCACGUGUGGGAUUUUGUAUGUACCAUACGAAUAAGGAUCGGCUAACUCCGUGCCAGCAGCCGCGGUAAUACGGAGGGGCCGAGCGUUAUCCGGAUUUAUUGGGGUUAAAGGGAGCGUAGGUGGAUGGUUAAGUCAGUUGGGAAAUUGUGCGGCUCAACCGUAAAAUGGCAGUUGAAACUGGCAGUCUUGAGUACAGAAGAGGUAGGCGGAAUUCGUGGUGUAGCGGUGAAAUGCAUAGAUAUCACGAAGAACUCCGAUUGCGAAGGCAGCUCACUGGAGUGCAACUGACACUGAGGCUCGAAAGUGUGGGUAUCAAACAGGAUUAGAUACCCCUGUAGUC
Molecule: ribosomal RNA, 460 nt
Filed under: uncultured bacterium
Lineage: Bacteria
Description: partial 16S ribosomal RNA
Rfam family: Bacterial small subunit ribosomal RNA
Source: RNAcentral